UAGUCAUAUGCUUGUCUCAAAGAUUAAGCCAUGCAUGUCUAAGUAUAAAUGGAUUAUACAGUGAAACUGCGAAUGGCUCAUUAAAUCAGUUAUAGUUUAUUUGAUAAUAUCUUUUACUUGGAUAACCGUAAUAAUUUUAGAGCUAAUACAUGCGUAAAAGGGUGACUUUACAGAAACCCUGUAUUUAUUAGAUACAAAACCAAUCACGCUUGCGUGCUUCCUUGGUGAUUCAUAAUAACUAAACGAAUCGUAUGACUUUAUGUCGACGAUGAUUCAUAUAAGUUUCUGCCCUAUCAACUUUCGAUGGUAAGGUAUUGGCUUACCAUGGUUACAACGGGUGACGGAGAAUUAGGGUUCGAUUCCGGAGAGGGAGCCUGAGAAACGGCUACCACUUCUACGGAGGGCAGCAGGCGCGCAAAU
Molecule: ribosomal RNA, 420 nt
Filed under: uncultured eukaryote
Lineage: Eukaryota
Description: SSU rRNA
Rfam family: Eukaryotic small subunit ribosomal RNA
Source: RNAcentral